RNAcentral lists this ribosomal RNA (219 nucleotides) under Triticum aestivum (bread wheat). RNAcentral describes it as "partial small subunit ribosomal RNA". The record is from RNAcentral. Lineage: Eukaryota; Viridiplantae; Streptophyta; Magnoliopsida; Poales; Poaceae.
AUGGACAGAAGGUCUGUCAUCGCUUGUUUUCUGGUGAUGCUUGUGUUGUUCGAAAGCGCAUCUGCAGACUGUGAGGAUGUUCAAUUUCAGAUCUUGUUCUGCAUCAAAUCAUCAUGCGAGGAUAUAUGCAAGUUUCAGUGGAAGGGUAAGAAGGUCUACAACCCUUGGUGCGAUAAGUUCUUCGGUGGCUACUGCCACUGCAAGAUUUGCCAUGAUUAA